ACGGGGUGCAGCAGGCGCGAAAACUUUACAAUGCGGGAAACCGUGAUAAGGGGACACCGAGUGCCAGCAACAUUUGCUGGCUGUCCAGGUGUGUAAACUACACCUGUUAGCAAGGGCCGGGCAAGACCGGUGCCAGCCGCCGCGGUAACACCGGCGGCCCGAGUGGUGAUCGUUAUUAUUGGGUCUAAAGGGUCCGUAGCCGGUUUAGUCAGUCCUCCGGGAAAUCUGUCAGCUCAACUGAUAGGCUAUCGGGGGAUACUGCUAGACUUGGAACCGGGAGAGGUAAGAGGUACUACAGGGGUAGGAGUGAAAUCUUGUAAUCCCUGUGGGACCACCUGUGGCGAAGGCGUCUUACCAGAACGGGUUCGACGGUGAGGGACGAAAGCUGGGGGCACGAACCGGAUUAGAUACCCGGGUAGUCCCAGCCGUAAACGAUGCUCGCUAGGUGUCAUGCACGGUGCGACCGUGUAUGGUGCCGUAGGGAAGCCGUGAAGCGAGCCACCUGGGAAGUACGGCCGCAAGGCUGAAACUUAAAGGAAUUGGCGGGGGAGCAC
This 554-nucleotide ribosomal RNA is filed under the name uncultured archaeon. RNAcentral describes it as "bacterial SSU rRNA". It matches the Rfam family "Archaeal small subunit ribosomal RNA", at positions 325 to 879 of the family's 1478-position model. The record is from RNAcentral.